Solanum dulcamara is the source of this 348-nucleotide long non-coding RNA. RefSeq lists it as uncharacterized. The record is from RefSeq and is a predicted model, not a curated record. Lineage: Eukaryota; Viridiplantae; Streptophyta; Magnoliopsida; Solanales; Solanaceae. The transcript has 4 exons.
UGUUUAAUUAUGUAGUUUUCCAAAGAAAAAAAAGUCAUUUUGAAAUGCUUGACUCAGAUGGACGACGACUCUAAGCCCAUCUGUGAAAGCUCGUCAAGAUUGGGCCUCCUACCCUGCCCCACAACUAAAGAGUUCCAUCUCUUUUCGUUUGCAGUCCUUAGGUAUCUGGAAGCUUCGAGAUCCUAAUUUAGCUGAUUCCUUGUUCCCCAAGCCAAAGUUUCCAAAGAUUUGCCGUAAGAACCUCGAGGAGAAUAGAAGAUCUAUCUAAAAUGGCUGAGCAGACGAAGCGAGGAAUUGCUGACCAUAUGAAAGAUGCAUCUAAAAUCUUUGAGUCUUUCAAGAACCAGU